AGUGGGGAAUAUUGCACAAUGGGGGAAACCCUGAUGCAGCCAUGCCGCGUGUGUGAAGAAGGCUUUCGGGUUGUAAAGCACUUUCAGCGAGGAGGAAAGGGUGAUGGUUAAUAUCCAUCAUCUGUGACGUUACUCGCAGAAGAAGCACCGGCUAACUCCGUGCCAGCAGCCGCGGUAAUACGGAGGGUGCGAGCGUUAAUCGGAAUUACUGGGCGUAAAGCGCGCGUAGGUGGUUAAUUAAGUCAGAUGUGAAAGCCCAGGGCUCAACCUUGGAACUGCAUUUGAAACUGGUUGACUAGAGUUUGUAGAGGGUGGUAGAAUUUCAGGUGUAGCGGUGAAAUGCGUAGAGAUCUGAAGGAAUACCAGUGGCGAAGGCGGCCACCUGGACAGAGACUGACACUGAGGCGCGAAGGCGUGGGGAGCAAACGGGAUUAGAUACCCCGGUAGUCCACGCAGUAAACGAUGUCUAUUAGAAGUUUGUGGCUAUAUGCCGUGGGUUUCAAAGCUAACGCAUUAAAUAGACCGCCUGGGGAGUACGGCCGCAAGGUUAAAACUCAAAUGAAUUGACGGGGGCCCGCACAAGCGGUGGAGCAUGUGGUUUAAUUCGAUGCAACGCGAAGAACCUUACCAUCCUUGACAUCCAGAGAAUCUGUUAGAGAUAGUAGAGUGCCUUCGGGAACUCUGAGACAGGUGCUGCAUGGCUGUCGUCAGCUCGUGUUGUGAAAUGUUGGGUUAAGUCCCGCAACGAGCGCAACCCU
RNAcentral lists this ribosomal RNA (758 nucleotides) under uncultured bacterium. RNAcentral's name for it is "bacterial SSU rRNA". It matches the Rfam family "Bacterial small subunit ribosomal RNA", at positions 353 to 1105 of the family's 1533-position model. The record is from RNAcentral.